GCUUCCGGUUCGAGCUCCCGGAACCGCCGCCUCUAGGGAUGGACGGUCAGACUCUGCGAAACGCCAUGAGAAGCCGGUCCUGCUCACGAGAGAAAAAGGAGGUAAAUGUGUCCCUGGAGAGGGCUGAUGGGAGGCAACUCUAUUUGAAAGGACCUGAGGGAGCAGGGUGGUGAAUAAGUGUCCCUAAAUCUACUCUUUCCUCUUGGGGUCCCAAGCUUGAAUCCUGGAGCAAAUGAUAGUGAGCAACUAGACUUACCAACCCAGUGUCACUUGUAAUAAUCAUCACUUGUAAUAAUCAUCUCUAACUGAGUGUAUCAGUUAGCUUUGUCUGUGUAACAAAUCAUCCCAGAUUUUAGUGGCUUAAAACAACAACCAUAUAUUUAGUUCUGGAUUUGGUGGGUUAGCAGUUUGGGCUUAUCUGGGCAGUUCUGCUG
This 434-nucleotide small RNA is filed under the name Pongo abelii (Sumatran orangutan). Its description in RNAcentral is "retained intron". Lineage: Eukaryota; Metazoa; Chordata; Mammalia; Primates; Hominidae. The record is from RNAcentral.